Molecule: non-coding RNA, 136 nt
Organism: Calypte anna (Anna's hummingbird)
Lineage: Eukaryota; Metazoa; Chordata; Aves; Apodiformes; Trochilidae
Source: Rfam
AAGCACUCUGUUUGAAGCUGAUGUGUCUUGUGUGUAGCUUCAUGGGCCAAGCAGCAGUGCUGGAAUGUAAGGAUUUGUUAUAACUGGGGCUCUUCAGCUCUGAGCUGAACUGCUCUUUUAAAAACAAGGUAAAUUU